CCUACGGGAGGCAGCAGUGGGGAAUCUUGCGCAAUGGGCGAAAGCCUGACGCAGCCAUGCCGCGUGAAUGAUGAAGGUCUUAGGAUUGUAAAAUUCUUUCAGUAGGGACGAUAAUGACGGUACCUACAGAAGAAGCCCCGGCUAACUUCGUGCCAGCAGCCGCGGUAAUACGAAGGGGGCUAGCGUUGCUCGGAAUUACUGGGCGUAAAGGGAGCGUAGGCGGGUUAUCAAGUUGGAGGUGAAAGCCCAGGGCUCAACCUUGGAAUUGCCUUCAAAACUGAUAGCCUAGAGUAUGAUAGAGGUAUGUGGAACUCCGAGUGUAGAGGUGAAAUUCGUAGAUAUUCGGAAGAACACCAGUGGCGAAGGCGACAUACUGGGUCAUGACUGACGCUGAGGCUCGAAAGCGUGGGGAGCAAACAGGAUUAGAUACCCUGGUAGUCCACGCUGUAAACGAUGAUUGCUAGUUGUCGGACGGCANGCGUCGGUGCGCAGCUACGACAUAAGACAACUACCGCCGUCGGGGUAGGUACGGUCGGCGAACGAAGUUAAAACGUAACGAAAGGAAAGUUAGUACGGCGUGAGACGUGCCGACGGACGACGACGAGGGAGGAGG
This 613-nucleotide ribosomal RNA is filed under the name uncultured bacterium. RNAcentral's name for it is "bacterial SSU rRNA". The stretch from base 1 to 516 matches the Rfam family "Bacterial small subunit ribosomal RNA", at positions 338 to 873 of the family's 1533-position model. The record is from RNAcentral.